CCCAACUAUCCCUAUUAAUCAUUACGUCAAUCCUAGAAACCAACAAAAUAGGAUCGAACGUCCUAUUUCAUUAUUCCAUGCUAAUGUAUUCAAGCGUUAGCUUGCUUUAAACACUCUAAUUUUUUCAAAGUAACAGUCCAAAUUCCCCGCAACACCAAAUUAAUGGCAUUACGGAUCAUCAGGAAGGAGGAAUCAGUGAGACCAGUACAUACCAGAGGCAUGACCAAUCUACUAACCCCGAAAUUCAACUACGAGCUUUUUAACUGCAACAACUUUAAUAUACGCUAUUGGAGCUGGAAUUACCGCGGCUGCUGGCACCAGACUUGCCCUCCAA
Molecule: unclassified non-coding RNA, 334 nt
Filed under: uncultured Glomerales
Lineage: Eukaryota; Fungi; Glomeromycota; Glomeromycetes; Glomerales; Glomeraceae
Also listed under: 1 other name
Description: sequence contains 18S rRNA gene
Source: RNAcentral